Molecule: long non-coding RNA, 795 nt
Filed under: Androctonus crassicauda
Lineage: Eukaryota; Metazoa; Arthropoda; Arachnida; Scorpiones; Buthidae
Source: RNAcentral
CUGGUAUCAUUAUCCUCCAGGGGAUUUUGUAAAUGCCUGUCCCUUCCUCUCUUGGGUAUUGGUCUUUCACGUUCCUUAACAUAUUGAACACCAUUGGGGGCCUCCUGUAUGCCUCUUUUUUCUUCCUUUUCUUGAUUAUUUCUUUUACUGUCUUAUAAUUACUCAGAGAGUGGUUUAAGACUAAGUAUCCACUGUCUUGUUCAUUGCUUUGAAGGUCUGUCCUUGGGUGGGCUUAGGUUUGGGUCUUUAGUCAAUAUCUCCUUCAAAAUUCUGUCUACUAGUGUUUGUUUAUAACCAUGCUUCUUGGCUAUUGUUUUUAUAUUCUGUAUCUCUUUUUGAAAUGCCUCUUCUUUGCUGCAAUGUGUGAGUGCUCUUGUUGUGAAGGACCUGAGUGCUGCUUUCUUGAGUUUCCAUUUGUCCCUUGACCGUUCUGGGGUCGGGACUGGUGCGCGGGUCUGUUUUCUGUGCACUUCCGUCAUGGGUUUGCGUCCUUCGAUUUUUGACUCAAUGUCGGGGUGGUGGACUUCAUGUUUGCUCCUCUGUUCUGGCUUUGGGGACGGGCCGUGGUUUGACAGCGUGGGCUCUUUGCUUAAGUUUUCUUCUCUCUCUUCACAUUCCCAUGUUGCGGACGUCAUCCACAUGCCUGGCGUGGAGUUUGGCUUUGCUUGUUGUGCUUGUGACUGUUCUAAUGUUGUAGUGGCCGGCUCCGCUGGUGCGCCCGCUGGUGGUCUUCCUAUCGGGACCCCCUUUGUUUGCAUAUAAUGGAAGCCGUUGGGUCUAAAAUGCAAGUCGUGG